This 497-nucleotide unclassified non-coding RNA is filed under the name Hevea brasiliensis (rubber tree). The record is from RNAcentral. Lineage: Eukaryota; Viridiplantae; Streptophyta; Magnoliopsida; Malpighiales; Euphorbiaceae.
GGAGGUAUAAGAAUGCAUUAGAGGUAAAGUUGUCCCAUUGCUGUUUCUGGUUCAUGGCAAGUCUCUACAUCCUUCUGUGAGCUCAUAUGAGAGAGCUUGUAUGUCCAUUGGGGAAUGUCUUUGCCGUAUGUUGUCAUGCAUGCGUGUGUAUAUUUUUAAGCUAGGCUUUUCUAUCGGUUGAUGUUUAAUAGUUCAGUUAAAUUUGUGAUGGCAUGCUGUUCAGGUCAUGAUGAUGGGUUACUUAUUUUAGAUAUCUACUUUGCAAUGCAAAAAAACUAAAAAAUGUUUUCUUAUAGUGUUUAGCUCAUCAUAUAAGUAGAUUUCCCACACUUCUCUAUUUAAUGCACAACAGAAUAUUAAGUGCAUUAGCUAGGAACUUAUUACUUAUGGUAUCAAGUCAUUACCAUACUGAUGUAGAGCAAAUAAAAACAAAGAACAAAAUAAGAACUGAUCCUUAGAAAGGAGAACUAAUACUCAACAAUUUUAUUAAUCUCAAU